GACGAACGCUGGCGGCAUGCUUAACACAUGCAAGUCGAACGCAGCAUCGGGGCUUGCUCCGAUGGCUGAGUGGCAGACGGGUGAGUAACACGUGGGAACUUACCCUUUAGACUGGGACAACCAUUGGAAACGAUGGCUAAUACCGGAUACGCCCUGAGGGGGAAAGCAGAAAUGCGCUAAGGGAGAGGCCCGCGGCAGAUUAGGUAGUUGGUGGGGUAAAGGCCUACCAAGCCAAUGACCUGUAGCUGGUUUGAGAGGAUGAGCAGCCACACUGGGACUGAGAAACGGCCCAGACUCCUACGGGAGGCAGCAGUGGGGAAUAUUGGACAAUGGGGGAAACCCUGAUCCAGCAAUGCCGCGUGAAUGAAGAAGGCCUUAGGGUUGUAAAAUUCUUUUGUUCGUGACGAUAAUGACGGUAGCAGACGAAUAAGCCCUGGCUAACUCUGUGCCAGCCGCCGCUGUAA
RNAcentral lists this ribosomal RNA (464 nucleotides) under uncultured bacterium. RNAcentral's name for it is "partial 16S ribosomal RNA". It matches the Rfam family "Bacterial small subunit ribosomal RNA", at positions 28 to 523 of the family's 1533-position model. The record is from RNAcentral.